GACGAACCGUGCGAACGUUGUUCGGAAUCACUGGGCUUAAAGGGCGCGUAGGCGGCUUGCCAAGUCCGGGGUGAAAGCCUCCAGCUUAACUGGAGAAGUGCCUUGGAUACUGGCGAGCUCGAGCGAGGCAGGGGUGAUGGGAACUUCCGGUGGAGCGGUGAAAUGCGUUGAUAUCGGAAGGAACGCCGGUGGCGAAAGCGCAUCACUGGUCCUCUUCUGACGCUGAGGCGCGAAAGCCAGGGGAGCAAACGGG
This 253-nucleotide ribosomal RNA is filed under the name uncultured bacterium. RNAcentral's name for it is "partial 16S ribosomal RNA". It matches the Rfam family "Bacterial small subunit ribosomal RNA", at positions 524 to 776 of the family's 1533-position model. The record is from RNAcentral.